AAGAUCCAGUGAAGGAGGAGCCAACCAAAGAGGAGGCCGCCCCUAAACCAGCCCCUUUCAUUAGGCCCCGCCACAAUAAACACGAAGUCCUUCAGGCCCCGCCUUGGACUGGCCAGGGCACAUAGGGCAGCCAAUGAGAUUCGAGAUGCCAAGAAAUAUUAUAAUGAGGUCAACGCCAUGUCCCCAGAGUUGAUGUGUACUGCAAGUUUUUCGUCUCGGAAAAACCCUCGUUCGAUGAUGCCUACAUUUUCGGUGACUUUGUAAUAUGACGACCCAAGACUUGGACCAAACAUGAUCACCUAUGGCAAAAUUCUUGGACUUGGUAAAUACAGAUUUUAAAUAUUAUUGUCAACGAUAUUCAUACAUUGUGUUUGAAUUGUUACCUGAAUACAUACUUAGCUUUGUCAUGAACAUGAUUAACGAGCUGAAUGGUACUAUAAUAAAAAUGAGCCGCGCUCUAUGAAAAGCGGGUUUAAUGCAUUUGUGUAAAGUGUCGUCCCAGAUUAGCCAGUGCAGUGAACAUAGGCUAAUCAGGGACGUAACUUUACGCCUAGAUUGGAUUUUUGUUAAGAAGAGACUUUCUUUUAACAGAAAAUAUCAUAAAAUCGGAAAGUGUUGUCCCUGAUUAGCCUGUGCAGACUGCACAGGCUAAUCCGGGACAACACUUUACGCACAUGCAUGAAGCCCCUUUUUCCAUAGAGCAUGGCCCAAAGUUAUUGUGGGAUACUUUAUCAACUGUUUUCCUCAAUACUUAUAUGCAAAAGUACUUGUCAUCAUAAGGUACUUUAAUAAAUUCAUGCACAUAGGUCUCUGUAUGUAUUAUGUGGAGGAGCUUAAUUUGCCAAAAAAAAAACAACAUUUUGUACAUGUAUAAGUUAAAUGUACCGAUUUCUGAACCAUUGUGACGACCACAUGAACCAUCAAAAGAAGCAAUUAACCACUGUUGUUUGAAGAGUCUAAUGUUACUAGUUGCACAUUAAGCACAAAGGGUCAUUGGACUUUUUCUGAAAUUAUAUAACGUAUAUGAGCAACCAGAAAAUGGACAACGUAGUACUUCAAUGUCUGAACACUUCUGUAAAUAACAUUAGUAGACUACACUUGGAUAUUUAUGUAAAGGAUAUCCAGUUAAGAUGACAUUGUCGAGUCAUUUUCAAAAGACAUUAAAGAAUAAAAUAAUUAUGUGUUUCAUACAGUGCUAUGAAAGAGUUGGAAUUAAGUCGUAAUAUAUAGGCCGGGUUCUGGGGAGAUCUGGGCUUUAUGCAUGUACACAAAGUGUUGUUUAAGAGUAGCCUGUGCAAUAAACACAGGCUAAUCAGGGACAAACUUUGCGCCUAAACUUGAGUUUCAUUUAGAAGAGACUUUAUUUUAACAAAAAAUCACUUAAAGUCAUAAAGUGUCUUCCGUGAUAAGCCUGUGAAAACUACACAGGCUAAUCUUGGACGGUAGUUUAAGCUGUUCCAUAGUGGAAUAUUGUUCGGAUACAAGUCUUUUAUUUAAUUUUAGACAAAAGUCUCAAGGUAGUUUAUAUUGGUUUUAAUAGUCAAACUAAAAUAAUAUUUUCAAUAUCUUAAAUUAAUACAAUGGUAUAAAUUAUGUUCUAGCCAAAUCCUCCCUUAAAUCUGAAUUGUGCGCGAUUUAGCCGAAAAGUGACAGACAUGAACGGAAAUGUGACACAUACUGCGUCGCAAUUUAACACAUCCAACUUGAAUGACUAUUUUAUUUGCUUCCACAACCAAUAUGUCUGCCUGUGGUCUAAUCAAGAGAAAAUGCAAAUACAUUAAAGCGAGAUUAUACGAUUUUUUAUAUGUGUUAAAUUCUAAUAUAUUGAUAAAAUAUGUUACAAUAACACAAAAUAGGCAAGAAAAUUUAAACAUUGAAGACGAAUUUCAUAAAAUGCAGCAAAGACAAAUUAGCGCCCCGAGCCGAUUGUGACGACUAUAUUUCGUAUAAAAUUUUCCUACAAUUACCGAAGCAUUCGUCUUUUUAUUAGGAUCAGAGUAAGUGUUCGUGUGUCGUAUGAAUAUAUAUCGUUGCAGAAAUUAAAAAUGGACCGUUAAACUAAAUUUAGAUUCACAUCGUAAAUGCAUUAUAUAUAUGCUGGCAAAUUCGACUGUACAUACAUUUUCGAUUUCAGAAUUAAAUAUCUGGCUUGUUUCGCAUUUUUCGACACAUGUUCUUCUUAUCUUUUAUUUUAAUUUAUAUUGAAAUAUAUGUAUAAUAAGUUUUUCACAAAUUUUAUAUAAAUUCAUACAUUUUUGACAAAAUCGUAUACCGGUAAUCUCGCUUUAAUUUAUGGUGACUCUAAUUGAAUGUUCAACCUCCAAGGGAAGGUAAUACUAAUGUAAAAUAUAAAAAUCGCCGUUCAUGAGAUAUUCAUGUACUCUAACCUAACAUUUUCAUGAACUUUAAGUUAACUAAUUCUUAUAAGAAAUUAAGAAAAUAUGUAUCUUAUAUUAUACCACAGAACAUUUAAUAACAAUAAUUCUAUGUAAUACUCUCUAUUCUAUGUCUUAAUUUUGUAUAUUUUGUGUGAGAAUAAUUUCUAUAUUAGAUUAAUGAUGACGAUUCUGUUCUAUGAUGGUAUUUCUUAUAUGAUUUCAUAUUCAUUCCAUGACAGUAAUUUUCAUGUUAUUUAAUAACAAUAAUCCUGUUUUACGAUAGUAAUUUAGUAGUUAAAAUUGUAUCCAUGAAUAUUUUAUUAAUGAUAAUUGUGUCCUAUAAGAUUCAUAACAACUAUAUAAUUCUUACUAACAUUUGUAUUAUGUGACAACGCACAUAUAUUAGUCGUGUUCUGAGAAAACUGUGCAUAAUGCAUUUGCAUAAAGUGUCGUCCCAAAUUAGCCUGUGCAGUCCGUAAAGUGUCGUCCCAAAUUAGCCUGUGCAGUCCGUAAAGUGUCGUCCCAAAUUAGCCUAUGCAGUCCGUAAAGUGUCGUCCCAAAUUAGCCUGUGCAGUCCGUAAAGUGUCGUCCCAAAUUAGCCUAUGCAGUCCGUAAAGUGUCGUCCCAAAUUAGCCUGUGCAGUCCGCAAAGGCUAAUCAAUGCCGACUCUUUCCGCUUUUAUGACAUUUUUCGUUUACAUGAAGUCUCUUCUCAGCAAUAAUCCAAUUCAUUCUUAAAGUGACGUCCCUGAUUAGCCUGUGCAGACUGUACAGGCUAAUCUGGGACGACAUUUUACGCACAUGCAUUAAGCCCUGUUUUCCCAGAGCGCUGCUCAUAUAAUUCUACCUGCAUGCAGGUGCACUUGAGAAGUAUAUUAAGAUCCUUGAAGAGAAGUUCAAGAACAAGACCUUGCAGCAGGUGUACGCCGGGGUGAACGGACGCAAUGUGGAUGACCCUGAGAUGCAACAGUUCUUCAAGUUCAAAUGCUGGAUAUAGACCUUAAUGUUCAGAAAUAGCAACAUUUUGCAUGUCCGGAUGGGGUUUUGUCAUCCUUUUGGAGAUUCAGGUUUUGAAAAUUGGGAAUGUGAAUUGGGUCUUAUGUUUAUUUUAAAGCUUGCAUUAUUCUUAAGAGAGCUAUGAUCAUGCUUAGCAUUUUUAAAUAUUGAUGUACAUUUUAUGUAUGUUUGAACUUGUAUAUAUAGACUCCUUUAUUCAAAUUUGAUCUAACAUGAAAAGAAUGUGUAACAAAAAUAUAUUAUACCACAUAACAUAUCACUUUUAUUAUUAUCAUGUGUGUCACAUUUAAAUCUAUUUGGUAUUUUAUUCACAAUGUUAAAUGUCACUAAAAUACCACCAGAUACGGGGCAUUUUUUCUUUUGAAACUGAAAUCAUUAUUUUCACAAGCCGAUGAUUAUAUCAAACCUGUCUCAAACGAAAUUAGUAUGGUGUUUUUUGUAACUGCACUUUCAUGCGACAUUUUAAAUGUGUAUAUAUUCUAAGUGCAACCUUUAAAACUGCACUUUAAAUCUUCUUUAUGAUAUUUUUAUGUCCCCCACCACUAUAGUGGGGGAUAUAUUGUUUUUUUUCCCUGUCUGUUGGUUUGUUUGUUUGUUUGUGUGUGUGUUUGCGUCUUACUUUAACAGUUGCCAUAACUUGUGCAAUAUUGAAGAUAGCAUGCAUGUGUAUCUCAUGGAGCUCCACAUUUUGAGUGGGAAAAUGUCAAGGUCAUCCUUCAAGGUCAAAGGUCAAAUAUAUGGGUCAAAAUCGCUUAUUUAAUGUACACUUUUGCAACAUUGAAGAUAGCAACUUGAUAUUUGGCAUGCAUGUGUAUCUCAUGGAGCUGCACAUUUUGAGUGGUGGAAGGUCAAGGUCAUCCUUCACGGUCAAAGGUCAAAUAUAUGGGGACAUAGUGUUUCACAAACACAUCUUGUUUAAUUUAAGUUACAACCACAUAAUUUAUGCCAUCAUUAGAUGUGUCGGAAUGUUCAACAUCAACACCAAACAUUGAAAUCUAAGGAAAUGCCAAUAGUUUCUUUUUGCAUUCACAUAUGUACAAGUCCUAAGUCAAGCAUGUUAUAUGCAUAACAUACACUGGCAUCUAUCAUUUGAACGUGCAUAUAAUCACCUGUCGCUGUCAAAGGCAUUUAUGGACUUUAACCUUUGUGACGUUUAGAGGCUUAGUUCUAUCUAGUCCUUCAGCAAAGAACCCAAAAUUGACCAGUAAGGGGGGCGAAACUACACAUAUAUUGCUUGGAAGAUGCAUGCCAGUAGCAUGUGAAAAUGGUUGAUAACAGUCUGGUACUGGCAGCUUUUGGUAUUUUUUUCUCCUUUGGAUAUGGGGCCUCAUUCAGCUUAAUUUUCAUAAAUUGUCUGGGAGAAAUUGAACCGAAGUAGGGUCAAUAUACACUUUGACCACCAAACAAUUGCUACAACACUUAUUUUAACUGAUCCUGGUAGGGCAGAAGGUCCUUAAAAUCAUAUCAAAGGUUUACCACAAUCGGAUCUCCGGAAAGUUGUUUUUUUCAAUAUGGCCGCCAAGAUAGCCGCCAUGACCUAUUAGUAUUAAUGAUCAUAACUAUGUAACUAUCCAAUCAAAUUUGAUGAAUUGGUGUCUAUACCUAGGUUUCAAGGGGCAAAGAACACAUAAUGGUCAUCAGAAAUUGUUUAAGUUUAAUUUAGUACACACCAAUUCAACAUGGCGUCGAAAAUGGCCGCCAAGAUGGCCGCCAAAACCUAUUUAAGAUCAUAACUAUGUGACUAUCAACUUAAAUCUGAUGAAUUUGAUGUCUAUACCCAGGUUUCAGGGGGCAAAGAACACAUUUAUAUCAUCAGACAAAGUGCAGGUUAAUUAUGUAACACCGCAACUCUAACAUGGCGUCCUAAAUAGCCAUCAUGUGUUUGUUCCUCAAUGACAAUCGUCCAAUAAAUAAUAGAACUUA
Molecule: long non-coding RNA, 5317 nt
Organism: Dreissena polymorpha
Lineage: Eukaryota; Metazoa; Mollusca; Bivalvia; Myida; Dreissenidae
Exons: 2
Source: RefSeq, a predicted model, not a curated record